CGGGCCGUAGUAUAACGGUAGUACGCGCGCAUGGGGUGUGUGUGGCUCGAGUUCGACUCUCGGCGGCCCGA
RNAcentral lists this transfer RNA (71 nucleotides) under bacterium. RNAcentral's name for it is "tRNA-Pro". It matches the Rfam family "tRNA". Rfam says of the family: Transfer RNA (tRNA) molecules are approximately 80 nucleotides in length. The record is from RNAcentral.